RNAcentral lists this non-coding RNA (117 nucleotides) under Gorilla gorilla gorilla (western lowland gorilla). The record is from Rfam by way of RNAcentral. Lineage: Eukaryota; Metazoa; Chordata; Mammalia; Primates; Hominidae.
GCUGGGUGUGGUGGCUCACGCCUGUAAUCCCAGCAUUUUGGGAGGCUGAGGCGGGUGGAUCACUUGAGGUCAGGAGUUCGAGACCAGCCUGGCCAACAUGGAGAAACCCCGUCUCUA